CCUACGGGAGGCAGCAGUGGGGAAUUUUGGACAAUGGGCGCAAGCCUGAUCCAGCAAUGCCGCGUGAGUGAAGAAGGCCUUCGGGUUGUAAAGCUCUUUUGUCAGGGAAGAAACGGUGAGCUCUAAUACAGUUUGCUAAUGACGGUACCUGAAGAAUAAGCACCGGCUAACUACGUGCCAGCAGCCGCGGUAAUACGUAGGGUGCAAGCGUUAAUCGGAAUUACUGGGCGUAAAGCGUGCGCAGGCGGUUUUGUAAGUCUGUCGUGAAAUCCCCGGGCUCAACCUGGGAAUGGCGAUGGAGACUGCAAGGCUAGAGUUUGGCAGAGGGGGGUAGAAUUCCACGUGUAGCAGUGAAAUGCGUAGAUAUGUGGAGGAACACCGAUGGCGAAGGCGGCCCCCUGGGUCAAAACUGACGCUCAUGCACGAAAGCGUGGGGAGCAAACAGGAUUAGAUACCCUGGUAGUCCACGCCCUAAACGAUGUCUACUAGUUGUCGGGUCUUAAUUGACUUGGUAACGCAGCUAACGCGUGAAGUAGACCGCCUGGGGAGUACGGUCGCAAGAUUAAAACGUCAAAGGAAUUGACGG
RNAcentral lists this ribosomal RNA (586 nucleotides) under uncultured bacterium. Its description in RNAcentral is "bacterial SSU rRNA". It matches the Rfam family "Bacterial small subunit ribosomal RNA", at positions 338 to 916 of the family's 1533-position model. The record is from RNAcentral.